ACUAACAGCCACGCCAAGUGGUGCAAUUUAGACAAUUCCUCCUUCUCUCUGCAGUCAAUUCCCUAAACCUCCUCUUGAAUGCGUCCGAUCAUUUACAUCCGACCCCUAAUAAGAAUGAUAAGAAGUAAUGGAAAAAGAUGCUUUAUAUUUGGUUCCACAAAAAACGAUGGAAGGGCGAUGGGUCUCGCAGCGGAUGUGCAGCGAGCUAGGGCUACAACAAUUCACUUUUCUACUCAUGAGAACCCCGAUUGAACAUCUUCUAUGUUUGAUGGCAGGUAGGGUUCGGAGUACCCGAUUCAUAUUGAUACACUAUUCACGAUUUCUUCCUGAGAUUUGUACUACAUUUAAUAUGGAUAGAAGAUAACUUCUUAUGAAUACAGGUGCUUGAUGAGAUUGGUGUAGGCAUCGCUUCACAGGUGAGUUUUGUAUAUGACUUGUUAUGUAUUCUUGGAAAUAGAGAUUUGUGGUAAGUUUGGUUAAGUUUUGUAAAAUGCUGGCAACCGCGAACCGGUCGAUAUUGGUGGUUGAGGACAUUGAUUGCUCCGCGGAGUUGCACGAUCGAGCGGGUGCGAAUGCGGUUACUGGAAAUCGCCCGUGAGGAUAUAGUCAACAGCAGAUGGUACGUACGAUCGCUUUUUCUGUUUUAUGACAGUAAUAAUAGUAAUAUUAUUUCUGAUUAACUGAUGAUUAUUGUACAUCGUGCGCCUUAUGUGACACAAGGCGAUGGGGUUUGGGCCUAGAUGCGCUUUGCGCUUAAGCACGCCUUUUUAAACCAAGGUAGCAACAAAACUUGACAUGAAAGUAAUGUUUUUUACCCGUAAGCUUUUGGAUUUUUUGCCAUUUGUUUAUUUAUUUAUUUUAUAUUUUUUUCUUUGAUGUCUUAUUUAGAUUUGAACUGAUUGUGUGAUCUCUUAUUCUUGUGAUAUUUUAUAGAAGAAUUGAGGAAAUGGUUUCUUUCAAUGGAAAGUACUCUCUUUAGCUACUGGUUUCUUGUGAUAUUUUAGAGAAGAUUUGAACUGUAGGAGUUGUUAACUAGGCUUGAUCCACCGCAACGCGCAGGGUCGCCAACCCGGUUUAGCGCACACAUAUAUUUUGUAUUUUUCAGGCCAGUAAGAGUUGCAAAGUGAAGUUGUCACUUGGGUACCAGGGGUUGCCAAAGCGGACCAGCGGUAACAUGGUAGCUCUGUCCAGUAAGAGUUGAAAAGUGAAGUUAUCACUUGGGUACCAGGGGUCGCCAACCCGGUUUCUGUUUAAUAUACCAUGUUACAGAUCAAAGUUAUCAUUAAAGCAUUGACCCUUUAUUCGGUUGAGAAAAUUAAACCAUUUACAUAUAUACAGGUCGACUUGGGUUGAGUUUUAUCUCUAUCGGGUCAAAUCAGUUGAGCAAUAAAAUUUGGCCAGAAAGAAAUAGAAUCUACCCAACGGGUCAAAAGGGUUGAAAGUCAUUUGACAUGUUUUAAUAGCAUACACUUCCUAAGUUGUUUUCACAAGCUUACGCUUCUUUAUUCUGUUAUAUCAAAUGGGUCGAACCACCAUUCGAAUGAGUGUUUAAUGGGUAACUGGCAUCGUGUUGAUUUGGGUGUGUGUUUGUCUCAAAUGAGUCAAAUUUGGUUGAAAACCACUCAAAGUGCAUCUUUAACGCAUAUGGUCUUCCCUAAUUGGUUUAAAAAAUUCCUUGGCUGUAACUUCUAAGUGAAAGGUACGUGACUUUUUUUCCUUCCCACUUGCUUUUUUUAAGUCUUUACACCACUAAAAAAGGUUUACACCAAUUUGCUCUUACACCAUGAGUGAAAAAGACUUAAACUAACGUAACGCCAAAAUGGUUAGAAUUAAUGUGAUGGGGUACGUGAUGUAAGGCCAAAUUAGUCAGAAUUAUGACUGAAAAUGUCAAUUGUUUAUGCAGGAAUUGGACCCCAUGUUUUCAGGAACACGCGAAUACAAAUUGCUCGCGGAUUUGGCUGCUGCUAUGGACGAAGAAGAUGUUGCAAAGUUCACUGAUGCUGUCAAGGAGUUUGACAGCAUGACUAAACUGAUAUACAACGUGUAUUUCGUUCUGGGUACGGGGUGGUUAAGCGGCUAUGGUUAAGUCACCAAGAUGGACCAUCUUGCAGCUCCUCUAGCCCCAACUACCUAUAUUUGGAAGGAGUAUUGGUACUUGAGAUAUGGAACCUCACACGCCUGUGUCUGCUACACACUUUAUCUUUUUUCGAGUUCGGUAAUUUCACUUUCUGUUUACAUUUUUAUUUUGUGGUUUCUUUUUAUAACACAACUUGCUAUAAUGAUUUAGGACCUCUUGUGGUUUCCUUUGUGUUAUUUCAUUUCAUGGUGGGGGUGAGUUGUUUUCCUUUAUAGUCUGAGAAUUGGGCUUGCAAUGAGUCUUAUAUUUCUUGGAACAAUGACGCAUGGGUGAAAGGACUUUGAAGGUUUCCAAAAACAACUAAAUUUUAUUCAUUACUUUUGAAUUAUAUGCGAUUAUUUGUGCUUUAAAAGAGUGUUUUUAUUUAUUCAUGUUGGAUUACUACCUUUGAAUUGUAUCUUACAAAUCUUUACGUAUACAAGCAAUAUUUAUAACACUGGCUCCAUUUUUAUCGGUGUAAAUUGUCGAUUCCGCCGCAACGCGCGGGUU
This is a long non-coding RNA of Helianthus annuus (common sunflower), 2626 nucleotides long. RefSeq lists it as uncharacterized. The transcript is spliced from 4 exons. The record is from RefSeq and is a predicted model, not a curated record. NCBI's taxonomy places the organism in Eukaryota, Viridiplantae, Streptophyta, Magnoliopsida, Asterales, Asteraceae.